This 463-nucleotide ribosomal RNA is filed under the name Vreelandella stevensii. Its description in RNAcentral is "partial 16S ribosomal RNA". It matches the Rfam family "Bacterial small subunit ribosomal RNA", at positions 340 to 795 of the family's 1533-position model. The record is from RNAcentral. Lineage: Bacteria; Pseudomonadati; Pseudomonadota; Gammaproteobacteria; Oceanospirillales; Halomonadaceae.
CCCGGGAGGCUGCAGUGGGGAAUAUUGGACAAUGGGCGAAAGCCUGAUCCAGCCAUGCCGCGUGUGUGAAGAAGGCCUUCGGGUUGUAAAGCACUUUCAGUGGGGAAGAAAGCCUUGGGGCUAAUACCCUCGAGGAAGGACAUCACCCACAGAAGAAGCACCGGCUAACUCCGUGCCAGCAGCCGCGGUAAUACGGAGGGUGCGAGCGUUAAUCGGAAUUACUGGGCGUAAAGCGCGCGUAGGCGGUCUGAUAAGCCGGUUGUGAAAGCCCCGGGCUCAACCUGGGAACGGCAUCCGGAACUGUCAGGCUAGAGUGCAGGAGAGGAAGGUAGAAUUCCCGGUGUAGCGGUGAAAUGCGUAGAGAUCGGGAGGAAUACCAGUGGCGAAGGCGGCCUUCUGGACUGACACUGACGCUGAGGUGCGAAAGCGUGGGUAGCAAACAGGAUUAGAUACCCUUGUAGUC